UAGCUAUUUAACCACUCCCCAGCCCCCAGCCUGCAAAAAGGAAAUGGAAUUAAAUAGUCACCCUACGUGCAUGAAUACUAGUGUUUUGAUAGAUAAUUUUAUCAAUUGAUAGGCCACCGGUUAAAUACACUUAUUCUAGAAGAAACAAAAAGAGUGGAGGAGUGAGGGCAGUAACCAAUUCUGUUAGUGUAGCAGGGAGGGGUGAGUAAAUUCUGUUACGAAGACUAUAAAUAAGGGCUGAAUAAAAGUGUUUGGCAUGCAAAAAAAUUAAGUGAGGAAAACAUAGUGAGGAGAGUCUCAGCCCUCUCGAACGGCUGCUUAUGUUCGUCCCUUUAUUUCUUGUAAUUCAAUUUACUUCAAAUUAAUACAGUUUUCCUUUUCACCGCUACUUGCCUUUUAAUACAGCUAAACCCUAUCAAUCUGGUAUCAGAGCACUGCAACACCAAUCACCACCAUGACACUAGCCGAACGAGUUGGAGAAUUGGAGCAGAAGGUGGAUACUAAUCACCAAGAGCUUCAGAUGGGUAUUGAAUCACUCCGUUCGGAGUUCAAAAUGAUGCAUGUCGGGAUGACAGAGAGGUUCGAAAUGCUGAUGUGCAAUUGGGAUAUCCACGAGAAGGAGAGAAAGGAGAAGGGUCCGGCAACGGAGAAAUCACCGAUGAUGACUGUUGACUCCGGGUUAACACAGUUAAGACCCGGCAGCAGCCGAAGCAAUGAGGGAGGAUCGAGCAGUGACUGGCGUGGGGAGUCUCGGGUUCGGCGACUGCAGAUGCCCGUUUUUGAAGGGGGCGAUCUGGAUGGUUGGGUGUUUCGAGUAGAAAGGUAUUUUGGGAUUAAUAGGCUCACUGAAGAAGAGAAGGUGGAGGCGGCCGCCCUUUGUUUUGACGGCGAGGCAUUGGCAUGAUAUCAAUGGGAGGAGAAGCGUAAACCGAUGAGUAGUUGGGGAGAGGUGAAGACCCAGCUGCUAAGACGGUUUCGACCCUCUCAAGAAGGGUCUCUGUGUGCUCAAUUCUUGUCACUCCGGUAGAAUUCGACGGUUCGGGAAUACCGUCGACGGUUUGAGAUGUUGGCUUCUCCAUUGACAUCGGUGUCUGAAGAAGUCAUGGAGUGUAAUUUUCUUAAUGGACUCAAACCAGUUAUAAGGGCCGAAGUCCAACUGCAUAGGCCAGUGGGCUUGGAACAGAUUAUGGAGGUGGCCCAAAUGGUUGAAGACAAGAACUCCAUCAUCCACUCAGCUUCUGGUAACAUUGGCCCAAACAAACCCAAAGCCUUCCAUUAUAACAGCCCAAAUCCUUCUCAACCCACAAUCUUCCACACCCGAAACACGAUUCCAGUGAACCUUAAUCCUAUGCGCCCUAAUUUCUCCCCCAAAAAUUCCGCCAACUUUAAACGCCUCACUGACGCCGAGCUUCAAGCCAAGAAAGAGAAGGGAUUAUGCUAUAGAUGUGAUGAAAAAAUUACAAUUGGGCACAAAUGUAAGAAUAAGGAAUUGCAAGUAUUGGUCGUUCGAGAAAUGGAAGAAGGUGAGGUACGGACAGAGACAAUUCAAGCCGACGAACUGAGCUUCGGCUACAACGAAGGAGAAGGGAAACCAGUGUUGACCGAGGAAGAAGCCAUAGGACCGGGCCAGCCGGUUAAACUCUCCAUAAACUUUGUGGUCGGCCUUACAGCCCCGGGCACUAUGAAGCUGCUGGGAAGACUUGGCUCGAAGGAUGUGGUUGUUUUAGUGGAUAGUGGAGCAUCACACAAUUUUAUUUCGGCAGAAUUGGUCCAGCAGCUGGGUUACCCCCUAUCCAGUACAACAAGCUAUGGAGCGGUUAUGGGCACCGGCUUAACAGUAAAAGGGGAAGGGAUUUGCCGACGGGUGCCUUUGAAGCUGCUAGGGCUGUUGGUGGAAGAAGACUUCUUACCAUUAGAACUGGGCAGCUCCGAUGUCAUAUUGGGAAUACAAUGGCUCAGGUCCUUGGGAAAAAUGCAAGUGGAUUGGAAGGCCCUGAUUAUGUCUUUUGACGUCGGAGGAGCUAAAGUGACUCUGCAGGGGGACCCAAGCCUUAGCAAGACCCCUGUAUCAUUGAAGUCCAUGUUGAAAGCUUUUAAGGAGUAAGGGGAAGGCCUCUUAUUGGAAUUGGGAAGUAUCACCAUUAAUCCCAGUCCUGUCUCAGGCCUUCCGUCGGGAAUCAUUGCUGAUGUUCUGGAGGAGUUCAACUCAGUCUUCGAAUCCCCUACUCAGUUGCCACCAAAAAGAAAUCAAGAGCACGCAAUCACUUUGAAGGCAGGGGCAGAACUAGUCAGAGUGAGACCAUACCGUUACCCCCACUUCCAAAAGAAUGAGAUUGAGCAGUUGGUGAAAGAAAUGUUAGCUGCCGAAAUUAUCCAGAAUAGCACCAGCCCCUUUGCAAGUCCUGUACUGCUAGUAAGGAAGAAGGAUGGCAGUUGGCGAUUUUGCGUGGACUACAGGGCUUUAAACAAAGUCACUGUGCCCGACAAGUUUCCAAUUCCAGUAAUAGAUGAGUUACUGGAUGAGCUGAACGGAGCCACGGCAUUCUCAAAAAUCGACCUUAAGUCGGGAUAUCACCAAAUUCUAGUUAAGGUUGAAGAUGUGCCGAAGACUGCUUUCCGAACUCACGAGGGACAUUAUGAGUUCCUAGUCAUGCCCUUCGGCUUGACUAAUGCACCAGCCACUUUUCAGUCAGUCAUGAACUCCUUCUUCAGAGAGCAACUCCGGAAGUAUGUGUUAGUCUUUUUUGAUAACAUAUUGGUCUACAGUCGCACGGAGAUAGAGCAUCGGGAUCAUUUGCGGACGGUCUUAAGGAUCUUACCGGAAAACCAGUUUGUUGCAAAUAGGAAGAAAUGCUUAUUUGGACAAACAGAGAUAGAGUAUUUGGGUCACAUAAUCUCAGAAAAAGGAGUGGCGGCAGAUGAAUCAAAACUGAUGGCUAUGCGGGACUGGCCACAGCCUCAAACGAUCAAAGAGUUGCGAGGAUUCUUGGGGUUGACAAGGUAUUACCGGAGAUUUGUGGAGGGAUACGGAAAGAUAGCGUGGCCUCUAACCCAGCUAUUGAAGAUGGAUAGCUUCCGGUGGAAUGAUGCAGCAGAAUUGGCCUUUAGACAAUUAAAAGAAGCAAUGAUAAAAGUUCCAGUGUUGGCACUCCCUGAUUUCUCGCAGCCCUUCAUAAUGGAAACUGAUGCUUCUGGUCACGGAUUAGGAGCUGUCCUAAUGCAAAACCAGAGGCUAAUAGCCUAUUUCAGCCAAACACUCCCACCAAGAAGUCAGAAUAAAUCAGUUUAUGAACGGGAACUCAUGGCUAUUGUUAUGGCAGUACAAAAAUGGAGGCAUUACUUGCUGGGAAGAAGAUUCGUGGUCAGGACAGAUCAGAAGAGUCUUAAGUUUCUCAUGGAACAACGUUUAGUGAAUGUAGAAUAUUAGAAGUGGCUAACAAAGUUGCUGGGUUUUGACUUGGUGAUUGAGUACAAGCCGGGACUGGAGAAUAAGGCAGUAGACGCACUUUCGCAUAAAGGGGCAGCAGUUUCUUUAAUGGUUCUCAGCAUACCGAGUUAUCUGCAUCUCAAUGAGAUAAGAAGGACAGUGGAAGAGGAUCCUGAGUUGGGUCGAAUUGUGACUGCCCUGAAAGACGAUUCCUCCUCUUGCCCAGGUUAUGCCCUAGUAAAUGAGGUCCUAUUGUAUAAAGACCGGAUAGCACUACCCAGAAAUUCUCCCUUCACUCUACUGGCAUUGAAGGAGGGACACGAUAGUAAGGUGGGGGGUCAUGGAGGUUUCCUCAAGACUUACAAAAGGAUAGCUGAGACUUUCCACUGGGUGGGUAUGAAGAAGGAGAUUAGGAAUUAUGUUGCUACCUGUGAAGUGUGUCAACAGCACAAAUAUUCCACUUUGGCGCCUGCAGGUCUAUUAUAGCCACUUCCUGUGCCAGAGAAAAUUUGGGAGGAUGUAUAUAUGGAUUUCAUAGAAGGAUUGCCCAGGUUAGAGGGAUACGAUCCCAUACUGGUUGUGGUAGACCGCUUGAGCAAAUAUGUCCACUUUAUUAGCUUGAAACAUCCAUUCACGGCACCAUCAGUGGCAGCGAUAUUUAUUAAAGAAGUGGUUCGGCUGCAUGGGAUCCCCAGUCAAUCGUGUCUGAUCGGGAUAAAGUAUUUGUGUGCCACUUUUGGAACGAGCUAUUUCGCCUACGGGGAACCAAACUGAGGGUCAGUACAGCUUAUCAUCCCCAAUCCGACGGCCAGACUGAAGUGGUGAAUAGGGUGAUUGAAACCUACUUGCGGUGCUUUGCUUCAUUCAGGCCGAAAGAAUGGGUCCGUUUCCUACCUUGGGCUGAGUUGUCUUAUAAUACAUCCUUCCAUGUGUCUGCACAACUAACGCCCUUCCGGGUAGUAUACGGACGAGACCCUCCCCCCUUGUUGCGUUUUGAAAAAGGAAUGACGGCUGUUUCAUCCUUAGAUCAACUAUUGACAGAGAGAGACAAAAUCUUGGACGAACUCAAGAUACAUUUGGCUAAAGCACAACAGCAGAUGAAGCACUCCGCUGAUAAGCACAGAAGGGCAGUGGAAUUCUCAACGGGUGACUGGGUUUAUUUGAAAAUGCGUCCUUACCAUCGCAAGACUCUAGCACGACGCGUUAGUGAGAAACUCUCCCCUCGAUACUAUGGACCAUUUAAAGUAAUAGCCAGGGUUGGAGUGGUAGCUUAUCGGUUGGAACUACUUUCGGGAACACAAAUUCAUCCAGUGUUUCACGUAUCACAAUUACGAAAAGCAAUGGGGGAGCAUCAUUUCUCUUUGGACUUGCCGAGCAACUUGGGGGCAAACUGGGAGUUAAUGGUUGAACCAGAAGCAGUGCUGGGAAUUAGAACAGUAGCACAAGGCACAACAGGCGGGCUGGAAGUACUUAUCCAAUGGAAGGGCUUACCUCCGCUAGAGGCUACGUGGGAACCAGGCUAUCUCAUCAACCAACAAUUUCCCUC
RNAcentral lists this long non-coding RNA (4973 nucleotides) under Olea europaea subsp. europaea. Lineage: Eukaryota; Viridiplantae; Streptophyta; Magnoliopsida; Lamiales; Oleaceae. The record is from RNAcentral.